UACGGAAGGGGCUAGCGAUGUUCGGAAUUACUGGGCGUAAAGAGCGCGUAGGCGGCUUACCAAGUUGGGGGUGAAAUCCCGGAGCUCAACUCCGGAACUGCCUUCAAAACUGGUAGGCUCGAGUCCGGAAGAGGGGCGUGGAAUUCCCAGUGUAGAGGUGAAAUUCGUAGAUAUUGGGAAGAACACCGGUGGCGAAGGCGGCGCCCUGGUCCGGUACUGUCGCUGAGGCGCGAAAGCGUGGGGAGCAAACAGU
This 253-nucleotide ribosomal RNA is filed under the name uncultured bacterium. Its description in RNAcentral is "partial 16S ribosomal RNA". It matches the Rfam family "Bacterial small subunit ribosomal RNA", at positions 524 to 776 of the family's 1533-position model. The record is from RNAcentral.